GCUGUCUACUAAACGAGCCUUCACUGCCCGCCCGGCCCCGUUUCUUUAAUCUUAAGUAAAGUGAAGUCAAAUCAAUGAAGUGAACAGCCCAACCUCUUUGUUUGAAGCUUUUCCAGAAUGUUACUUGUUGAAGCUUUGCUUCCCCUAAUUCCAAAGCACAACAAUAGACUUGCAACUAUAGUAUAGGAAAAAGCUUCUCUUUGAUAGCGGUCAUAGGGGGGUUCAGAAAGGAUCUGAUCGUAGAUAGAGACUGAAACCGGGG
Molecule: unclassified non-coding RNA, 262 nt
Filed under: Hevea brasiliensis (rubber tree)
Lineage: Eukaryota; Viridiplantae; Streptophyta; Magnoliopsida; Malpighiales; Euphorbiaceae
Source: RNAcentral